RNAcentral lists this ribosomal RNA (377 nucleotides) under uncultured bacterium. RNAcentral's name for it is "bacterial SSU rRNA". It matches the Rfam family "Bacterial small subunit ribosomal RNA", at positions 29 to 431 of the family's 1533-position model. The record is from RNAcentral.
AACGAACGCUGGCGGCAGGCUUAACACAUGCAAGUCGAACGGGCGUAGCAAUACGUCAGUGGCAGACGGGUGAGUAACGCGUGGGAACGUACCUUUUGGUUCGGAACAACCCAGGGAAACUUGGGCUAAUACCGGAUAAGCCCUUACGGGGAAAGAUUUAUCGCCGAAAGAUCGGCCCGCGUCUGAUUAGCUAGUUGGUGAGGUAACGGCUCACCAAGGCGACGAUCAGUAGCUGGUCUGAGAGGAUGAUCAGCCACAUUGGGACUGAGACACGGCCCAAACUCCUACGGGAGGCAGCAGUGGGGAAUAUUGGACAAUGGGCGCAAGCCUGAUCCAGCCAUGCCGCGUGAGUGAUGAAGGCCCUAGGGUUGUAAAGC